GAUGAACGCUGGCGGCGUGCUUAACACAUGCAAGUCGAACGGGAAUUACUUUAUUGAAACUUCGGUCGAUUUAAUUUAAUUCUAGUGGCGGACGGGUGAGUAACGCGUGGGUAACCUGCCUUGUACAGGGGGAUAACAGUCAGAAAUGACUGCUAAUACCGCAUAAGCGCACAGGACCGCAUGGUCCGGUGUGAAAAACUCCGGUGGUAUAAGAUGGACCCGCGUUGGAUUAGCUAGUUGGUGGGGUAACGGCCUACCAAGGCGACGAUCCAUAGCCGGCCUGAGAGGGUGAACGGCCACAUUGGGACUGAGACACGGCCCAGACUCCUACGGGAGGCAGCAGUGGGGAAUAUUGCACAAUGGGGGAAACCCUGAUGCAGCGACGCCGCGUGAAGGAAGAAGUAUCUCGGUAUGUAAACUUCUAUCAGCAGGGAAGAAAAUGACGGUAC
This 449-nucleotide ribosomal RNA is filed under the name uncultured bacterium. RNAcentral's name for it is "bacterial SSU rRNA". It matches the Rfam family "Bacterial small subunit ribosomal RNA", at positions 28 to 478 of the family's 1533-position model. The record is from RNAcentral.